CAUGGCUUUUUGAUUAUAAUUUAAGGUCAGGCCUGCCCUAUGAAAUGUAAUUUUAAAUGGCUGCAGUAGACUGACUGUGCAAAGGUAGCAUAAUAAUUAGUUUUUUAAUUGGGAACUGGUAUGAAUGGUCUAACGAGAAAAAGACUGUCUCAAUUUAAUUUAAAUUAGAAUUUUAUCUUUAAGUAAAAAAGCUUAAAUGCCCUUAAAAGACGAGAAGACCCUAUAGAGUUUUAUAAAAUUUUAUAAUUUUAAAAGUUAAAGUAUUUUAGAUUUAAUUUUAUAAAAUUUUAUUUGGUUGGGGAGAUUAAAAAAUUAAAAGAACUUUUUUUAUUUUAUACCAUUGAUAUAUGAAUAAGUGAUCCAUAAUUUAUGAUUAUAAGAUUAAAUUACCUUAGGGAUAACAGCGUAAUUUUUUUUAGAGUUCUUAUCGAAGAAAAAGUUUGCGACC
Molecule: ribosomal RNA, 448 nt
Filed under: Anachalcos convexus
Lineage: Eukaryota; Metazoa; Arthropoda; Insecta; Coleoptera; Scarabaeidae
Description: partial 16S ribosomal RNA
Rfam family: Bacterial large subunit ribosomal RNA
Source: RNAcentral